Molecule: long non-coding RNA, 283 nt
Filed under: Homo sapiens (human)
Lineage: Eukaryota; Metazoa; Chordata; Mammalia; Primates; Hominidae
Description: HSALNT0336679
Source: RNAcentral
AUUCACUCUGCAAUGAUUUACUGAAUGCCUUCUAUGUACCAAGCACUCUGCCAGGUGCUUGGGUACAAAAGGAAAGCUCUGUAGACAACGAUUGUAACAGAACUGAGAAAGUGAAACCAAAAAGUGGAAAUACAACUCUAGUGCCCUGAGGAAGAUGGUGAAUGAGUUAAGCAUUAAUAUUACAGGAAAGAAGACUGGAUCCAGACCCAAGAGAGGGUUCUUGUAUCUCAGGCAAGAAAGAAUUCUGGGCAAGUUCACAGAGGAAAAUGAAAGCACAUUUAUU